RNAcentral lists this long non-coding RNA (356 nucleotides) under Mytilus galloprovincialis (Mediterranean mussel). The record is from RNAcentral. Lineage: Eukaryota; Metazoa; Mollusca; Bivalvia; Mytilida; Mytilidae.
CCAAACUUUAGAUUUCUUUGGUUUUCAUUAAAGCCUGGCAAAAAUAUAACCUUAUCACAUAUAAUUAAAUACUGUUAGAAAUAUGAAAACAGUCGAAUGUCUUAAUACUUUUUUUUCGAGUUGCCUUUUUUCAAUUGAAGAUUCAAUUGUUAUUUUUUUUUUAUUAAAAAUACACUCUUUAAUACAUUGUCUUAUAAAUCUUUAAUAUCUACAUUUUUCUAAUGAAAAUACUCUACUCAUGAAAACAUUCUAGUCAACAUGGUCAAGAAGCAUACAUGUCUGAAUAUAUUUCUUUAAAACAGUUCUAGUCAUAAUGACAUUCCUUGUUUAUAAGUGUUCCAGUAUUUAAUAAUUAU